AUCUGCGGCAAAGGGUUGGAGUAGAGCAGAGCUCGGCUCUCGGCAGCUAGCAGACUUGAGCCCUCCCGACAGAAACCGAGCCCAAACCUGCUGACGCGCGGUGCUGUCGCUCCUGGGCAUGACAUCACCCAAAACACCCUGAAGUCAAUGGAAGAAAUAUCAGUUCAGAGGGAUUGCAUCAAGCAACCCAUAGAGAAUGUGCAGGAUCUACACACUCACCCUGGAGACCACAGUAUAUGGGAGCUCAGCCUGGACUACAGCCUGCCCCAAACACCACAGUGAUGUCUUCAACCACAGUGAUCAACGACAAGGCUCAAGGCAUCUUGUUAGCAGCCAGGCUGUGUCUCAGGCUGAAAGGCAGGCAGCACAGAGUAAAUCACAACCUCUGUAGAAAACUCCUGGGAUAAUGCAACCAAGCUUUGAAGCUUUCACCCAACAAGCUUUGACCGCUUUGGGAAGGACUGCUUUUUGCCCUCUACCCUUCCACCUCCCUCAGCAGAAGGCUGAACCUACGCCAGGUCUGUGGCAUCAGGGCAGCAAGCCAUCCCACUGCAGCCACCCCAUGACGGCCCAAUGAGUCGGUAGGCAUUGGAGGCCAAGAGGAAACCCAGCACCUUUGCACAUUGGAGCCGUUUACAAUGACUUUUGUUGCUGAUGGCGCAUGUUUCGUUGUACUUGUUAAAUCUUGUUAAACAGGAAACAGGUUUCGAGGCGAGAGGGUCCCUUAGAGUUCAAGCUCCUGCUUUCAAAUGUUCUUACAAGAUGCACAAUUGGCACCGACUUACAGGAAAUGUUUAAUUGGAGUCGGAAGGCGCUGGCUCCACCGACCUUGUAUUACAUUCCUCUGCGUGCUCCUUUCACAAUGAUUUUCACCUAUAGCUUAAAUCAGUGAUUUAUUUAUAUCAGCCAAUGGUGAGUUCAGCAACGUGGCUGGGGGGGGGACGGGACGAGCGGACCACAGAGAUGCAGCAAGUGAAAGGGAGGAGCAAGCAGCAAGGAGCAGUCCUACCAAGCAGAAGGGGCUGCCACAAACCUAAGAGUGACAUAUUUAUGAGUCCAGUAUCGGUUGCCUGCACUGAUAAGCCACGGUCAUUAAAGGAAGGAAAAGUCACCUUUGUGUAUAUAAAAUAUACAAGAUUCAUAGUCUGAAAAGACUCAACAGGAAAGCAUUAGGUAAAUAAAGGAUAUCCCAUAAAGCAUAAUGUGAAAAUUAAAUUACCUCAUAAGGGAAGAAAACUGUCUGUCCCAGCAGUGAAAGUGAGGAAAAAUUAAAUUCCUCUAUUCCAUCCCAAAGCUGACUUGGCUUUGGGGUUUUGGGUGGAUCUAGAUACAUUGUUACUGAUGUCUAUUAAAAACAAGCACUAGAGCCCAUUACAUAGGAUUGGAAAUGCUGCAGCUUCCCACAAAUUUUCACUAUAUGCUCACAAGGUGGUAAGAAGCGCCCUAUGCAUCGCUGCUUACGGUAGCCAAGACACAGAAGUGUCAUUUCAGGGGGAGCCGGACUGACAACAUUAUUUCCAGUUUUCAGUUCUCAUGAGAUGUUCUUUUAAAUUUAUUUGGGGAGCUGUACUUGUGAAACACUUGGAAAAGUUUUCUUCUGUCUUCUCUGAACUUUUUGGAUGGGUGAAAUGUAUCCAGGAUCCACCUAUUUUUGCUUUAAUUUGUCAGCCUGCCUCCAAAGCCAAGCAAAUGUUGAAAUAUCAGGAAGAGGCAAAAGGAGGGAAAACUGAGUUCACUUGGUGAACUGUCUAGUAAAAGAGAUAAUGGAAAAGAAAGAGAAAGAGAAGGUAAUCUGCUAUUUGAAAUCUUUAUAAUUAAAAAAGAAAAUUAUUUAAACUUUAAAAAAAUAUGGAAUGAACAAUUUCACAAGUAAGUGACCUGCUAGGGGUUGUUCCUGUGGAAGACAUGCACAGCCCCUGCCUUGCACACAGGUGGCUAACCUAUGAGCAAUGUGUAGCUUUGCAGCCUCAGCAGCAAAUCCCUGCACCUACAGCCCUCAGAUCCUCCAAAGGUGUUAACUGAUGCCCAGGGUUUAGACACACUGUUUUUGGUUGGGAAGGAGCUGAUCCAAUCUGAACCAAGCCAAUCUUAUUUUUUAUUGCAAAUGUUGAUCCUACAGUGAUAAGGUAGAUCUCAAUAGCAGCUUGUAGCCACUACUAAAGGAGGAUUUUCCUUUUCCUCAGCAGAAUUCAAGGAUGAAUACUCUAUUUUAAAAUGUGGCUAUCUACUUUGGUAUUCUCCCUGUAUGCAAAAAUCCCGUGAGAAGCCAAUUUCCACAACAUGCUGCAGGAUUUUGGAAGGAUAACAAGCAAAUAAUUUAGUACCUAUUCCCUGGAUCUCUGCUCCCAGGAACAAGUGCCACAGUUGCUGAUACAGCUGAAAACCACAUUUGACUUUUCUGGUGCAUCACACAAGCAAAUCAAGUUGCUUUAGGUGCCCAGGAAGGACAGAGGCACUUAUUCAGCAUAGCCUGCUUUUUGCCCUGGAGUUUGCAUCAACAUCUCUUCCCACUGACUCUUCUGCUCCAGAUUUUUACAAAUCCAGGUCAUGUUGCUACUACAUCUCAUUCUAUCUGAAGCCCUUUGCUUCUCAGGAGCUGACAUUUUCCUCUCCAGAACAUCUCCAGCCCUUCAGGCCUCUGCAUUAGACAAAUGAACUGAGCAUUAAUAUGAAUGACUGAUAAGCAGCAAAAGGGAAGAAAGCCAGCAAGCAGUCGAGAAACCUAUUCUGGAACAAACUGAACUGAAUCAAGGAGAGUGAAAAUUAGUUAUCUUUGCAGACCAGUAAUGUAGUGGCAUCACUUUUGCACACUAACACAAUCAUUAAAGGGUCACCAUAAACAGCUCUUCUCCUAUUUUUUAAAUGUCCACGUGGUGUUAAACUUAGAAUUUGCUUUUUCAAGUUGAAACAAACACAGAGCCUUCCAGAGCUGACUUCUUCUUUCAAGUGCAGAAGAGAGGAAGUCUGUUGUUUUUAUCACAUAUCUUCAAAUUGAAAGGUACCUCUAAGCGAGGUAAUCAGUAGCACAGCCAGGUUUACACCUAGGAAACUAUGACUAAAGAAAUAGUAAAACACUGAUUUGCCAUCCACAGAAGCGCAGUUUAGUCCAAUGCUGUCGUCUUUAUUGACCACCCUUGGGGACAUUUCUUUAUUUGUAAAGGGUUCCCUUUCAAAAAUCUACAUGUGAUCUCCAGUUGGAUAAAUAAGGUGGGAUCCAGAAGCGAGAAAUGGGAGAUCAGUUUUGUGAGAAGGCUGCUAGAUGAAGCAGCUUUGCUUCAUUUUAUUUGGGACUUUUCUUCUAUUCACUCUUUUGCCCUUUGCUGGUGUCUCAGCUCCCUCUCUAAUAAAUAACUAGUCCACAUCACUAAACUGCUGCACAUAACUCAGAGCAAUUUGUUACUGUUGGCAAUGUCUGUGCAGCGGGGGCCCAGGAAAAGGCCAGCAUGGAAGCAGUAAUACCUCCCACUCUUCAGGAGCAUGAUUUCUGCCUGAUUAGAGAAGGGGUCAUUGGUAGGACAAUGUAGAGAAGGUCGUACACAAUUGCCUCCACACAAGUUGUGUGUGCUGCAUGAUCCUUGUGUGAGCUACUUUACCCAGGAGUAUCUGUCAUGAGAAAUCGGUCCUGUGAUGUCAACACUGUAGAUGUGGCAGGAUGUUAAAAAGUUAAUACAUAUUAAUAAUCACCAGAAUGCAAUGAAAGUGUCUGAGCAUUUUAUACAAUCCUGAGCCCAGAGGAUAGUUUAAAACACAGAAAUUCCUUUAGAAACGAUGAUAUAAUAAAUCCACUAGGCCUAAAGUCCUUCCAAAGGUAAGACUAUAAGCACAGUCUCUAAAUACUUGGUAAAGCUGUCACGUUAAGAGUCGUGUAUUGUUUUAAAAAGAAAUGAAAAAAGGGCUACACUUUUGGAUUUUUUUUUUCUGGGUCUCCAUCUGCCUGACGUUCAUGAACACAGAGAGGUGUAGAGGGGACAUCUCAUAGCACGGUUAUUUUUUAAGGUAUACACCACAAAAGAAUUUUCUGGGAGCCAGGCUGCAGGAAAGGAGUUUCAGUGUCCUGCCUGAAAUGGGAGAGCUCAGCUGUCCUCUGACUGCAAAAAGGUCUGAGGGUUAGCUAAGGGCAUCUGUCACUAGACAGA
Molecule: long non-coding RNA, 4136 nt
Organism: Colius striatus (speckled mousebird)
Lineage: Eukaryota; Metazoa; Chordata; Aves; Coliiformes; Coliidae
Exons: 4
Source: RefSeq, a predicted model, not a curated record